AUUGAACGCUGGCGGCAUGCCUUACACAUGCAAGUCGAACGGCAGCACGGGAGCUUGCUCCUGGUGGCGAGUGGCGAACGGGUGAGUAAUACAUCGGAACGUACCCUGAAGUGGGGGAUAACGUAGCGAAAGUUACGCUAAUACCGCAUAUUCUGUGAGCAGGAAAGAGGGGGGAUCGCAAGACCUCUUGCUUUAGGAGCGGCCGAUGUCGGAUUAGCUAGUUGGUGAGGUAAAGGCUCACCAAGGCGACGAUCCGUAGCGGGUCUGAGAGGAUGAUCCGCCACACUGGGACUGAGACACGGCCCAGACUCCUACGGGAGGCAGCAGUGGGGAAUUUUGGACAAUGGGCGCAAGCCUGAUCCAGCCAUGCCGCGUGAGUGAAGAAGGCC
Molecule: ribosomal RNA, 389 nt
Filed under: uncultured bacterium
Lineage: Bacteria
Description: bacterial SSU rRNA
Rfam family: Bacterial small subunit ribosomal RNA
Source: RNAcentral